ACAGCUUCGAUUCUUUCAACAAUUUGUAGUCAGUUCGGAUAAACGUGUUCCAUUCAGAAGAUUAGUGCUGACUAAAGAUGGACUCUAAGAAAAUAGCCUUGCUCUGUUUAGUGGUUUGUAUCCUCGCCUUCACCGACACAGAGGGCGCACCUCGCAUGAGUCACAUUCCAGGGAAGGUGCAUUCACAAUUUGCUGCACCCGGGGCUGGUCUACACAGCGUCCAUCGUCGAGACUCUGAAAUGGGCUCUUCAGAAGAAGGCACUGAAUCUCCGGACGAAUAAUCGGUCUUGACAAAUUUGAUUGGGCGAUGAACAUCAAUAUAUCUAAAUAUAUAAUUCAUUAUAAAUACAAUAGAACUAGUUAUACAACCAUAGUUAAGAACUAAUACUUGCUUACAAUAAUAUUGCGUAAAAACUUGCAAUCGAUAAAAUAAUUUCUUCAUAGUUAUGAAAACAUGCAUAGUCGAGCAUCACACUAGAAGAGGACUAUACUGAAAUGAAUAAUUUCCAUAGCAACCCACAAAUCACUAGGAAUAUCAUUUAUUAAGUCAUUUUAUGUAAGAUUCUCAUGACUUGUAUGUAGUUGAAAGGGAAAUUUGAAAAACAGAAAUGUUUAGAGAAUAUGGCUCAUAAUUCGAAUGUUGUUAAACAAAAUAUUCCAGCGUAAAAUUUACAACAUAAUAUGACUCAAUAUGGUUAGGAGUUUGUCUGUUUUAUUAGUGUAUGUAUACAAAUAUUGUUAGUAGUAAUAUAUUCAAGUAGUUUUUCAUUCCUUAAAUAGAUGAUUUAUGCUAGAAAUUCUCAUUUCUUUCAUUUAAAGUGCGUAUAUAAAUGUUAAGCAGUUCUAAUUUAAGUACAGUAUACUAUUUAGUAAAUGCAUUUCUAGUAGAGUAAGUAUGGUACGACAUUGAUCAGUCACGCAUGAAUUAGCACAUGUUCAUUUUAGAAAUGUACACACAUGCUCUCGUAGUAUAAACAGAGUACGUACUUUCGUGAAAUGACAAUGGCUAAUUCAUGCGUGACUGAUGUCAUGUAUAAAAUUGAGUCAAGCCACGUUCGCAUGAGGAGACUAACGUGUAAUGUUAAAACGCUCAACAUCGAAUUGAAGAAUAUGUAAAAUAGCAUAUAUUUAUAAAUGGAUAUUGCCAUGGUAAUUAACAAUACAAUUUUGAUGUCUAUUACAAGACCCUACUACAGCAUAAUGGUUGAAAGUUCCGAAAUAUAGAAUCGUAGAAUGAAUAUUGAAUAAAUAAGUAUUCUAUAGCUAUGUAAAUUAUGUAUAGAUACCACUGUAAUGUAGUGUACAGGGUUUUGUUCUCUUGUAUCUAGUUUAGUUCAUAUGUAUAUAUUAAACACAAAGCAUGACA
This is a long non-coding RNA of Saccoglossus kowalevskii, 1366 nucleotides long. RefSeq lists it as uncharacterized. The record is from RefSeq and is a predicted model, not a curated record. Lineage: Eukaryota; Metazoa; Hemichordata; Enteropneusta; Harrimaniidae.